CCUACGGGAGGCAGCAGUGAGGAAUAUUGGUCAAUGGGCGCUAGCCUGAACCAGCCAAGUAGCGUGAAGGAUGACUGCCCUAUGGGUUGUAAACUUCUUUUAUAUGGGAAUAAAGUGCAGUAUGUAUACUGCUUUGCAUGUACCUUCUGAAUAAGGAUCGGCUAACUCCGUGCCAGCAGCCGCGGUAAUACGGAGGAUCCGAGCGUUAUCCGGAUUUAUUGGGUUUAAAGGGAGCGUAGGCGGGUUGUUAAGUCCGUUGUGAAAGUUUGCGGCUCAACCGUAAGAUUGCAGUUGAUACUGGCAGGCUUGAGUACAGUAGAGGUAGGCGGAAUUCGUGGUGUAGCGGUGAAAUGCUUAGAUAUCACGAAGAACUCCGAUUGCGAAGGCAGCAUGCUGGACUGUAACUGACGCUGAUGCUCGAAAGUGUGGGUAUCAAACAGGAUUAGAUACCCGAGUAGUC
This 460-nucleotide ribosomal RNA is filed under the name uncultured bacterium. RNAcentral's name for it is "partial 16S ribosomal RNA". It matches the Rfam family "Bacterial small subunit ribosomal RNA", at positions 338 to 795 of the family's 1533-position model. The record is from RNAcentral.